UGGAGAGUUUGAUCCUGGCUCAGACGAACGCUGGCGGCGUGCUUAACACAUGCAAGUCGAACGGAAAGGCCCUUUCGGGGGUGCUCGAGUGGCGAACGGGUGAGUAACACGUGGGUGAUCUGCCCUGCACUCUGGGAUAAGCCUGGGAAACUGGGUCUAAUACCGGAUAGGACCAUGGGAUGCAUGUUCUGUGGUGGAAAGCUUUUGCGGUGUGGGAUGGGCCCGCGGCCUAUCAGCUUGUUGGUGGGGUGAUGGCCUACCAAGGCGACGACGGGUAGCCGGCCUGAGAGGGUGUCCGGCCACACUGGGACUGAGAUACGGCCCAGACUCCUACGGGAGGCAGCAGUGGGGAAUAUUGCACAAUGGGCGCAAGCCUGAUGCAGCGACGCCGCGUGGGGGAUGACGGCCUUCGGGUUGUAAACCUCUUUCAGUAUCGGCGAAGCUUGCGGGUUUUCUCGCAGGUGACGGUAGGUACAGAAGAAGCACCGGCCAACUACGUGCCAGCAGCCGCGGUA
RNAcentral lists this ribosomal RNA (515 nucleotides) under Mycobacterium terrae. RNAcentral describes it as "Mycolicibacter terrae bacterial SSU rRNA". It matches the Rfam family "Bacterial small subunit ribosomal RNA", at positions 1 to 522 of the family's 1533-position model. Lineage: Bacteria; Bacillati; Actinomycetota; Actinomycetes; Mycobacteriales; Mycobacteriaceae. The record is from RNAcentral.